Molecule: ribosomal RNA, 899 nt
Filed under: Streptomyces sp. LK1331.2
Lineage: Bacteria; Bacillati; Actinomycetota; Actinomycetes; Kitasatosporales; Streptomycetaceae
Description: partial 16S ribosomal RNA
Rfam family: Bacterial small subunit ribosomal RNA
Source: RNAcentral
GCUGCUUGCGGNNUGNGNCNNCUUNUNAANAUGCAAGUCCNAACGGNGAAGCCCUUCGGGGUGGAUCAGUGGCGAACGGGUGAGUAACACGUGGGCAAUCUGCCCUGCACUCUGGGACAAGCCCUGGAAACGGGGUCUAAUACCGGAUAUGACCUUNCUCCGCAUGNUGGUUGGUGGAAAGCUCCGGCGGUGCAGGAUGAGCCCGCGGCCUAUCAGCUUGUUGGUGGGGUAAUGGCCUACCAAGGCGACGACGGGUAGCCGGCCUGAGAGGGCGACCGGCCACACUGGGACUGAGACACGGCCCAGACUCCUACGGGAGGCAGCAGUGGGGAAUAUUGCACAAUGGGCGNAAGCCUGAUGCAGCGACGCCGCGUGAGGGAUGACGGCCUUCGGGUUGUAAACCUCUUUCAGCAGGGAAGAAGCGCAAGUGACGGUACCUGCAGAAGAAGCACCGGCUAACUACGUGCCAGCAGCCGCGGUAAUACGUAGGGUGCGAGCGUUGUCCGGAAUUAUUGGGCGUAAAGAGCUCGUAGGCGGCCUGUCGCGUCGGAUGUGAAAGCCCGGGGCUUAACCCCGGGUCUGCAUUCGAUACGGGCAGGCUAGAGUGUGGUAGGGGAGAUCGGAAUUCCUGGUGUAGCGGUGAAAUGCGCAGAUAUCAGGAGGAACACCGGUGGCGAAGGCGGAUCUUUGGGCCAUUACUGACNCUGAGGAGCGAAAGCGUUGGGGAGCNAACANGAUUANAUACCCUGGUANUCCACNCCGUAAACGUUGGGAACUAGGUGUUGGCGACAUUCCNCGUNGUCGGGGCCNAACUUACNCAUUAAUUUCCCCCCUUGGGGANUCCGCCNCANGNUNAAACUAAAGAAUUNACGGGGNCCCCCAAACACNGNNCUNUUGNU